UACGGAGGGUGCAAGCGUUAAUCGGAAUUACUGGGCGUAAAGCGUGCGCAGGCGGUUUGUUAAGUCCGCUGUGAAAUCCCCGAGCUCAACUUGGGAAUUGCAGUGGAUACUGGCAGGCUGGAGUAUGGUAGAGGAAGGUGGAAUUCCCGGUGUAGCAGUGAAAUGCGUAGAGAUCGGGAGGAACACCAGUGGCGAAGGCGGCCUUCUGGACCAAUACUGACGCUCAUGCACGAAAGCGUGGGGAGCAAACAGG
This 253-nucleotide ribosomal RNA is filed under the name uncultured bacterium. RNAcentral describes it as "partial 16S ribosomal RNA". It matches the Rfam family "Bacterial small subunit ribosomal RNA", at positions 524 to 776 of the family's 1533-position model. The record is from RNAcentral.